This 267-nucleotide unclassified non-coding RNA is filed under the name Archaeospora ecuadoriana. RNAcentral's name for it is "partial contains 5.8S ribosomal RNA and internal transcribed spacer 2". The stretch from base 1 to 71 matches the Rfam family "5.8S ribosomal RNA", at positions 84 to 154 of the family's 154-position model. The record is from RNAcentral. Lineage: Eukaryota; Fungi; Glomeromycota; Glomeromycetes; Archaeosporales; Archaeosporaceae.
GUGAAUCAUCAAAUCUUUGAACGCAUAUUGCACUCUUUGGUAUUCCGGAGAGUAUGCCUAUUUGAGGGUCAUUUGUAAUAUUAUAAUUUCCUAGAUUUUUCGUAUUUUUAUAUGGGUUGUCCAUUUUUUGUGGUUGACUAAAAUGGAAGACAAGCUCAUGUUUUUGGGUUGCGGGAUAUUUUCAGUUUUCUCGUGAUUAAAACAGGAAUCAUCGGGCGUGUUUUGAAUUUUGCAAGAGGUAUAAAAUUGGAUAGAUUUAUCUCAUGA